UACGUAGGGUGCAAGCGUUGUCCGGAAUUAUUGGGCGUAAAGAGCUCGUAGGCGGUCUGUUGCGUCGGCUGUGAAAACCCGGGGCUCAACCCCGGGCCUGCAGCCGAUACGGGCAGACUAGAGUUCGGCAGGGGAGACUGGAAUUCCUGGUGUAGCGGUGAAAUGCGCAGAUAUCAGGAGGAACACCGGUGGCGAAGGCGGGUCUCUGGACAGUUCCUGACGCUGAGGCACGAAGGUCAGGGGGGCAAACGGG
RNAcentral lists this ribosomal RNA (253 nucleotides) under uncultured bacterium. Its description in RNAcentral is "partial 16S ribosomal RNA". It matches the Rfam family "Bacterial small subunit ribosomal RNA", at positions 524 to 776 of the family's 1533-position model. The record is from RNAcentral.